This is a long non-coding RNA of Lotus japonicus, 512 nucleotides long. RefSeq lists it as uncharacterized. The record is from RefSeq and is a predicted model, not a curated record. The transcript is spliced from 2 exons. Lineage: Eukaryota; Viridiplantae; Streptophyta; Magnoliopsida; Fabales; Fabaceae.
UGUAAGAGAAAUACUGAAAGGUGCAAAAGGAAAUUCACAAUACUGUGAUAUUGUGUCUGCCAUAUUUUCCGUAAUACCCUUAAUUAUGCUUAAUUACGUUGCUUAGGCAAAGGACUUUUGGUAGAACUAUAAGUAUCACAUCUUAAACCCAAGAAACCAAACCAAAAAGAAAUUAGGCAAAACAUUUCAAAAGGUGAACCUAUGGCAAAGUAUUAUCUUCUCUUCAUCACCAUGGUUCUCCUUGUAGUAGGGAAUGUAAAGGUGGAAGCGGGUAUAUGUAUAGCUCCUUAUGGUGCAUGUGGUCCUAGAGGAGAAUGUGCGCAAAGGUGUAGCAAAAACCACCAAGGUGGAGCAGGGGGUUGUGAGUUAGGUCUUUGCAAAUGUACUUACACUUGUGAUCCUCCUCAGCCUGCCUCGAGAAAACUUAAAAAGUUAUUCUAAUUUCUUCCUAGCAGGUUGUGUAUCCGGAAGUGAUUGUGCAAUUGAAAAUCUUAUCAGUCUUCGUUUUCUUA